GCUGGCGUAGCUCAGUAGGUAGAGCAACUGACUUGUAAUCAGUAGGUCCCGGGUUCGAUUCCUGGUGCCAGCA
Legionella lansingensis is the source of this 73-nucleotide transfer RNA. It matches the Rfam family "tRNA". From Rfam's summary of the family: Transfer RNA (tRNA) molecules are approximately 80 nucleotides in length. The record is from Rfam. NCBI's taxonomy places the organism in Bacteria, Pseudomonadati, Pseudomonadota, Gammaproteobacteria, Legionellales, Legionellaceae.